This 343-nucleotide ribosomal RNA is filed under the name uncultured Rhodocyclaceae bacterium. RNAcentral's name for it is "bacterial SSU rRNA". It matches the Rfam family "Bacterial small subunit ribosomal RNA", at positions 1036 to 1382 of the family's 1533-position model. Lineage: Bacteria; Pseudomonadati; Pseudomonadota; Betaproteobacteria; Rhodocyclales; Rhodocyclaceae. The record is from RNAcentral.
AGGUGCUGCAUGGCUGUCGUCAGCUCGUGUCGUGAGAUGUUGGGUUAAGUCCCGCAACGAGCGCAACCCUUGUCACUAGUUGCCAUCAUUGGUUGGGCACUCUAGUGAGACUGCCGGUGACAAACCGGAGGAAGUGGGGAUGACGUCAAGUCCUCAUGGCCCUUAUGGGUAGGGCUUCACACGUCAUACAAUGGUCGGUACAGAGGGUUGCCAAGCCGCGAGGUGGAGCCAAUCCCACAAAGCCGAUCGUAGUCCGGAUCGCAGUCUGCAACUCGACUGCGUGAAGUCGGAAUCGCUAGUAAUCGUGGAUCAGCAUGUCACGGUGAAUACGUUCCCGGGUCUU